Long non-coding RNA from Zea mays, 1297 nucleotides. RefSeq lists it as uncharacterized. The record is from RefSeq and is a predicted model, not a curated record. The transcript is spliced from 4 exons. Lineage: Eukaryota; Viridiplantae; Streptophyta; Magnoliopsida; Poales; Poaceae.
AGUUAGACAUGCCACACUUCUGUGGGCAAGUGUUUGGUUCGUGACUAACUUUAGGCAGCCACAAAAAGUGUGGCGAGGUUCCCUGAGCUUGCCAUACUUUUUUUCGCCGCAUCUGGGGCGCUCGUUUUCGAUGCCCCAGCACCGCUACGCGCCGCACUUCGCCCCCUUCUCUCCCUCUCAUGCCGCUGGUUGAUCUCUCGUCAUCUCCUCCUCCAAGCACGGAUCUUCUCGUCGUCUCCUCCAAGCACGGAUCAGGAGCACUGAAAUUCUAUCUCAACCGGUUCUGCCGACUGGAUAACUUGAAUUCUAAAGAUGGGUGUGAAGGAGAUGUAUCUUCAAUAUUACAAUAGUUACAUCCAGUACCUACGAAGAAGAAGGGUGCUUAUUUACAUUACCAUUUGUGUGGUUUUUCUUUGGUACAAACUGAAUAGAUUACAUAGGAAGAGUGUUAAAUAUGGUCCUUUGUUACAACGAGAUUUGGAACGAGAGAGGCGGCUCAACCGGUUGUAUAAUGGGACAGAAGCCAAUUGUAUUAGUGAGUUGCGCAUGCGCAAAUUUGUUUUCCAUAGGUUAUGUAGCCAUUUAAGGUCUCGUAGGUUGUUAGAGGAUAAUGUCAAUGUCUCUGUUGAAGAACAAGUUGCUAUGUUCUUAAAGUUUGUUGGUCAUAGAUGGACAAAUAGGUCAGUUGGGUUUGAAUUCAUGCGGUCCGGAGAAACAGUUAGCAGGUACUUCAACCUUGUUUUAGAUGCUCUAUGUGUCAUGUCACGUGACCUCAUUACCAUGAGAACCACAGAGAACCACAGGGACACAACCAAAGGUCUCGUAGGUUGUUAGAGGAUGCUCUAUUUGAGUCAUGGGUAUUGAAGCAUUUAAGUGAUUUGGACCUGUGAAUCGACUAGGUUGAUCCAAGCAGGAGGUGAAUGUGUGAUGGUUGGUUAUUUUGCAUUUCUUCUAGGUUGAUGCAUGACGGUUCAUGGAGAAGGCUGGUGGUUGUGAUAGCUAUCACACACUCUUUUGGUUAAUAAUUAGAUACUCUUUUUGUUGAGCAAUGUGAACCUUUAAUGGUGUUUAUGGGUCUUGUGGAGUUGUGAUGGGGCUAUUAUGAAGAUGCUAUGGCCUGUUAUGGAUGAUUGGACAUGUUAUGGGCUCUAUAUAUUAAUCUGUUAGUUUGGUUUCCUCAUAUUCAUCAUGUCAUGGGGCUAUUAUGAAGGUUCUUGCAGCUGCUAAAGUGCAUCUGUGAUAUUUGUAAAUGAGUUAUUGGUAACUGAAAUGAAGGAAAGGGAUCUGAGAUUGGCUU